GCUCAGAUUGAACGCUGGCGGCAUGCCUUACACAUGCAAGUCGAACGGCAGCACGGGUGCUUGCACCUGGUGGCGAGUGGCGAACGGGUGAGUAAUACAUCGGAACAUGUCCUGUAGUGGGGGAUAGCCCGGCGAAAGCCGGAUUAAUACCGCAUACGAUCUACGGAUGAAAGCGGGGGACCUUCGGGCCUCGCGCUAUAGGGUUGGCCGAUGGCUGAUUAGCUAGUUGGUGGGGUAAAGGCCUACCAAGGCGACGAUCAGUAGCUGGUCUGAGAGGACGACCAGCCACACUGGGACUGAGACACGGCCCAGACUCCUACGGGAGGCAGCAGUGGGGAAUUUUGGACAAUGGGCGAAAGCCUGAUCCAGCAAUGCCGCGUGUGUGAAGAAGGCCUUCGGGUUGUAAAGCACUUUUGUCCGGAAAGAAAUCCUUGGCUCUAAUACAGUCGGGGGAUGACGGUACCGGAAGAAUAAGCACCGGCUAACUACGUGCCAGCAGCCGCGGUAAUACGUAGGGUGCGAGCGUUAAUCGGAAUUACUGGGCGUAAAGCGUGCGCAGGCGGUUUGCUAAGACCGAUGUGAAAUCCCCGGGCUCAACCUGGGAACUGCAUUGGUGACUGGCAGGCUAGAGUAUGGCAGAGGGGGGUAGAAUUCCACGUGUAGCAGUGAAAUGCGUAGAGAUGUGGAGGAAUACCGAUGGCGAAGGCAGCCCCCUGGGCCAAUACUGACGCUCAUGCACGAAAGCGUGGGGAGCAAACAGGAUUAGAUACCCUGGUAGUCCACGCCCUAAACGAUGUCAACUAGUUGUUGGGGAUUCAUUUCCUUAGUAACGUAGCUAACGCGUGAAGUUGACCGCCUGGGGAGUACGGUCGCAAGAUUAAAACUCAAAGGAAUUGACGGGGACCCGCACAAGCGGUGGAUGAUGUGGAUUAAUUCGAUGCAACGCGAAAAACCUUACCUACCCUUGACAUGGUCGGAAUCCUGCUGAGAGGCGGGAGUGCUCGAAAGAGAACCGGCGCACAGGUGCUGCAUGGCUGUCGUCAGCUCGUGUCGUGAGAUGUUGGGUUAAGUCCCGCAACGAGCGCAACCCUUGUCCUUAGUUGCUACGCAAGAGCACUCUAAGGAGACUGCCGGUGACAAACCGGAGGAAGGUGGGGAUGACGUCAAGUCCUCAUGGCCCUUAUGGGUAGGGCUUCACACGUCAUACAAUGGUCGGAACAGAGGGUUGCCAACCCGCGAGGGGGAGCUAAUCCCAGAAAACCGAUCGUAGUCCGGAUUGCACUCUGCAACUCGAGUGCAUGAAGCUGGAAUCGCUAGUAAUCGCGGAUCAGCAUGCCGCGGGUGAAUACGUUCCCCGGGUCUUGUACACACCGCCCGUCACACCAUGGGAAGUGGGUUUUACCAGAAGUGGCUAGUCUAACCGCAAGGAGGACGGUCACCACGGUAGGAUUCAUGACUGGGGGUGAAGUCGUAACAAGGUAGCCGUAUCGG
This 1491-nucleotide ribosomal RNA is filed under the name Burkholderia cenocepacia. RNAcentral's name for it is "bacterial SSU rRNA". It matches the Rfam family "Bacterial small subunit ribosomal RNA". Lineage: Bacteria; Pseudomonadati; Pseudomonadota; Betaproteobacteria; Burkholderiales; Burkholderiaceae. The record is from RNAcentral.